Molecule: non-coding RNA, 87 nt
Filed under: Olea europaea subsp. europaea
Lineage: Eukaryota; Viridiplantae; Streptophyta; Magnoliopsida; Lamiales; Oleaceae
Source: RNAcentral
GGGAGCUGUAUGAGCGGUAACGUCCACGUACGGCUCUGUGAGGAGGGUAGAAGACUAAAUUCUAACAUAUUGACGAAUCAUUCUAAU